AGGAUGAACGCUGGCGGCGUGCCUAACACAUGCAAGUCGAACGUCCUGUCUCGCAAGAGGCAGGGAGUGGCGGACGGGUGAGUACCACGUGGGUCAUCUACCGUGAGGUGAGGAAUACCGGCGAGAAAUCGCCGACAAUCCCGCAUAGCUUCGGGAACGAAGAAAGCAGCAAUGCGCCUGGGGAUGAGCCUGUGGCCGAUUAGCUAGCUGGUGGGGUAACGGCUCACCAGGGCGACGAUCGGUAGCUGGUCUGAGAGGAUGAUCAGCCACACUGGGAUUGAGAACGGCCCAGACUCCUACGGGGGCAGCAGUGAGGAAUCUUCCGCAAUGGGGGCAACCCUGACGGAGCAACGCCGCGUGCAGGAGACGCUUUUCGGAGUGUAAACUGCUUUUCUCGAGGAAGAAGUCGGACGGUACUCGAGGAGAGCCCGGCUAACUACGCGCCAGCAGCCGCGGUAA
RNAcentral lists this ribosomal RNA (459 nucleotides) under uncultured bacterium. Its description in RNAcentral is "SSU rRNA". It matches the Rfam family "Bacterial small subunit ribosomal RNA", at positions 26 to 523 of the family's 1533-position model. The record is from RNAcentral.